GCCACUAAGGAUCUCCACGAUGCCAUUUCAUCGGGCAACUACCCCGAGUGGAAACUUUUCAUCCAGACCAUGGAUCCUGCGGAUGAGGAUAAGUUUGACUUUGACCCACUUGAUGUGACCAAGAUCUGGCCUGAGGAUAUUUUGCCUCUGCAACCGGUUGGUCGCUUGGUUCUGAACAGGACCAUUGACAACUUCUUCAAUGAAACUGAGCAGCUCGCUUUCAACCCGGGUCUUGUGGUUCCUGGAAUCUACUACUCAGACGACAAGCUGCUCCAGUGUAGGAUAUUUGCUUAUGGUGACACUCAGAGACAUCGUCUUGGACCAAAUUAUCUGCAGCUACCAGUGAAUGCUCCCAAAUGUGCUCACCACAACAAUCACCAUGAAGGUUUUAUGAACUUCAUGCACAGAGACGAGGAGGUACGUCUUAGUACCACUUGAGCUACCAUUGUUAGUCUUUUGACUUGGAAUCAAAAUUCUUAUAGGGUGUUUGCUUUUUACAGAUCAAUUACUACCCCUCAAAGUUUGAUCCUGUCCGCUGUGCCGAGAAAGCUCCUAUCCCUACAAACUCCUACACUGGAAUCCGAACAAAGGUCUGAUUCAUGACAUGCGUUCUUUAAAUCUUGAAAACCUCAGACUCAAUAUAUUGAAAAGUGUCUGCUAAGAAAACCUUGAAACUGCUAAUGUUGCAGUGCGUCAUCAAGAAAGAGAACAACUUCAAACAGGCUGGAGACAGGUACAGAUCAUGGGCACCAGACAGGCAAGACCGGUUUGUUAAGAGAUGGGUUGAGAUUCUGUCGGAGCCACGUCUCACCCACGAGAUCCGCGGCAUCUGGAUCUCUUACUGGUCUCAGGUGAGAACAAAAAACCACUCAGUGAAAUCUCUGCUUCCUUUUUCACCAAAUAUUCAGCAAACUAAACAUUAUAAUCUCUCUUAUCUUUCAGGCUGAUCGAUCUCUGGGACAGAAACUUGCAAGCCGUCUGAACGUGAGGCCAAGCAUCUAGAGACCAAUCUCCAGAUAAGUUGAGUCUAAUGCGAGGUACACAAUCUCAUCGAUCCAUCAUCGCUUGGUCGUUAAAUCCGUCAAAAGAUAUUCCACCUGUGUUGUUGUUUCAUGUCAAUAUAAUAAUAAUGCAUAUGCUUGUAAUCCCAUAGACUCUUGUUUCCUUCGGUUUUAGUCGCACAGUCUGUGUCUUUGUAAUCUCUUUUACAAUAAAUCAAUGUUUCUUAUGGUGGUCGUAUACAUAUAUUUUUAAGAGAAAUUGCACUAGAUAAUUUAAAAAAAAAACAAAAUUAAAUAUCUAACCUCUAACCCCUCUAUUCACUCUCUUUCUCUUCCUAUCUCUCUCUACCUUCUUUCUAAAAAACUAAUUUUUCUUUUUUUUUGGUUAUUCACCUAAAUCACCACUCUCUCAUUUUUAAUUCAGCAUUAGAUUAAAAAAAAAAAAAAAACAGAGAAAAUAUUUGGUUAUGUAUAAUUUUAAGGAGAAUCCAGAAUUGGAUCCACAAUUGUCUAUUAAUGGUAUAGAAUCUGACGAAAUUAAAGACGAUAUAUCAUCCACACGUAAUUAGUUUGAUUAUCAUUUGGAUAAGGAUAAACAAAGAAAAAACACAUACGUUUUUUGCUUGUAUCGCGAUACAUAACGAGAUUUGUCUCAUUUUAUCGCGGCGGGAUUUUGGGAUUGAGCUAAAAUAAGAUAUUUUAGCUUUUGGCUCGCUAUAAAAAAAAUCGACAACAGUGCAGACGCACGCCGAUUUGCGUAGAGAGACUCAACUAAAAAAAUCACAAAGGAAAAUUUGGGAUCAAAAUUAGUCUUGCGGCAUCAUGGAUCCAUACAGGGUACAUCGAUCGAUUCUCUUUAGGCUCCUUUUUUUGUAAUCUGAAAUUUUGCCUUACUUGAUUUCGUAUCAAUUUGGUUUUUGAUUUGGUGUUGAAUACUACAAAGUAUACGAUCUCUCUCGGUUAAAAUGAUAUGCAAAAUUGGGGUGAUUGUUCGACCUAUUGAGGUUUUUGUGGGGUCUUUAACUCAAUUUCUUUAAUAUUUAGCAGAGAUCAGGUUUGGGAUUUACAUGCGUUGAAUAUUAGAAAAGAAAACUGGUACAUAUUUAGGAUUCUACAUGUUUUCUUCGUCUAUUGAUUGUUUAAUCAAACAAGUCUUAAGGCUCAUGUUUUAAGGUUUCUUUAUCACUGUGUUUGAUUGUGAAUAUCAUUGUACCUUAAAUAUCAGCUCGGAAAUGCUAACGUUUUCGUGAUUUGUAUCUUACUUUUUGUUUAGUUGAAUUUUAAGUUAAAUGGAUCAUAUACUUUGUGGCAUUGUUAUCUAUCUAGUUACAAGUAUCUCAUUUGUCAAAGACGUUUCUCCAUUUUAAGGGAAUUUGGUUAAAUUUUUUGAUCCAGUUGCAUUUUUUAUUCUUCUGAAUUUAUUUGUUGACUGCAGGUUCGUCCUUCAAGCGCUCAUGAUUCCCCUUUCUUCACUACAAACUCGGGUGCUCCUGUCUGGAACAACAACUCUUCUUUGACUGUCGGAACUCGAGGUGCGUCUCUCUUUCUUUAUCUCUCGAAUACAAAUUAUAGCAAAUAGGUUGAACCAGUGGUUGUCAGAGAUGUCCUUAAAGCUAGAGUAAUGGAAGCCAAAUAAUUUUUAUAAACGUUUAGAUAAGAAUGUCAUUAGUGUUUUUCUGGACUUGCGUGAAUCAGCUCUCUUCCUUCAUUUAUAUGCCAAAUCUAUUAAUUCUUCCAAUGUUUAUUCUGUUUGCUUUCUUGAAAAUUUAGAAAUGUGAAACGAUGAUAUUGUAUACUGUCAGGUCCAAUUCUUCUGGAGGACUAUCAUCUGCUUGAGAAACUCGCCAACUUUGACAGGGAGCGGAUUCCUGAGAGGGUAGUUCAUGCCAGGGGAGCCAGUGCUAAGGGUUUCUUUGAAGUCACUCAUGACAUUACACAACUUACUUCUGCUGAUUUUCUUCGAGGACCUGGUGCUCAGACUCCUGUUAUUGUUCGUUUCUCAACUGUCAUCCAUGAGCGUGGCAGUCCCGAGACUCUCAGAGAUCCUCGUGGUUUUGCUGUUAAGUUUUACACCAGAGAGGUUAGCUUUUGUCUUAUCCUUCCAUCGUCUCUCUGUUUUCUGUAAUCAAUAUCUAUGUGUUUGCUGUUGUUGGAAUGUUUUAUUUGCUCAUCUAUUUCGUUUUACCACCUAUUUGAUUAAUUGCUAAUCAUAUUGUACUCUUCUGAUUCUUAUUACCCUCUGUUUGCAAACUCAGGGGAACUUUGAUCUUGUUGGGAACAACUUCCCUGUAUUCUUCGUCCGUGAUGGAAUGAAAUUCCCUGACAUGGUCCAUGCAUUGAAACCGAAUCCCAAGUCCCACAUUCAGGAGAACUGGAGAAUACUGGACUUCUUCUCCCACCACCCAGAGAGUUUGCACAUGUUUUCGUUCCUCUUUGAUGAUCUCGGUAUCCCACAGGACUACAGGCACAUGGAAGGUGCUGGGGUCAACACUUACAUGCUAAUCAACAAAGCUGGAAAAGCUCACUAUGUGAAAUUCCACUGGAAGCCGACUUGUGGGAUCAAAUGCCUGUCGGAUGAGGAAGCUAUCAGAGUUGGAGGAUCCAAUCACAGCCAUGCUACUAAAGAUCUCUAUGACUCGAUCGCAGCCGGGAACUAUCCACAGUGGAAUCUCUUCGUUCAGGUGAUGGAUCCUGCCCACGAAGACAAAUUCGAUUUCGAUCCGCUUGAUGUCACAAAGAUCUGGCCUGAAGAUAUCUUGCCUCUACAACCUGUUGGCCGCUUGGUCUUGAACAAAAACAUCGACAACUUCUUUAACGAGUACGAACAGAUUGCUUUCUGUCCUGCUCUUGUGGUUCCAGGCAUCCACUAUUCAGAUGAUAAACUACUCCAGACCCGGAUCUUCUCCUACGCUGAUAGUCAGAGACACCGUCUUGGACCAAACUAUCUGCAACUACCUGUCAAUGCCCCUAAAUGUGCUCACCACAACAAUCACCAUGAUGGUUUUAUGAACUUCAUGCACAGGGAUGAGGAGGUAAUAAUCUCUCUCGGCUCUGGAAACUCUCAGAUACUUAAAUUCACCACCAUUUUCACAUUUAUAUGAAGUAAAUUUGUUACUUUCCAAUUCCAG
This 4129-nucleotide long non-coding RNA is filed under the name Arabidopsis lyrata. RNAcentral describes it as "long non-coding RNA (ALYR_LNC003044)". The record is from RNAcentral. Lineage: Eukaryota; Viridiplantae; Streptophyta; Magnoliopsida; Brassicales; Brassicaceae.